CGUAACAAGGUCUCCGUAGGUGAACCUGCGGAGGGAUCAUUACACAAAUAUGAAGGCGGGCUGGAACCUCUCGGGGUUACAGCCUUGCUGAAUUAUUCACCCUUGUCUUUUGCGUACUUCUUGUUUCCUUGGUGGGUUCGCCCACCACUAGGACAAACAUAAACCUUUUGUAAUUGCAAUCAGCGUCAGUAACAAAUUAAUAAUUACAACUUUCAACAACGGAUCUCUUGGUUCUGGCAUCGAUGAAGAACGCAGCGAAAUGCGAUAAGUAGUGUGAAUUGCAGAAUUCAGUGAAUCAUCGAAUCUUCGAACGCACAUUGCGCCCUUUGGUAUUCCAAAGGGCAUGCCUGUUCGAGCGUCAUUUGUACCCUCAAGCUUUGCUUGGUGUUGGGCGUCUUGUCUCUAGCUUUGCUGGAGACUCGCCUUAAAGUAAUUGGCAGCCGGCCUACUGGUUUCGGAGCGCAGCACAAGUCGCACUCUCUAUCAGCAAAGGUCUAGCAUCCAUUAAGCCUUUUUUUCAACUUUUGACCUCGGAUCAGGUAGGGAUACCCGCUGAACUUAAGC
Molecule: ribosomal RNA, 564 nt
Filed under: uncultured fungus
Lineage: Eukaryota; Fungi
Description: eukaryotic LSU rRNA
Rfam family: 5.8S ribosomal RNA (bases 208-361)
Source: RNAcentral